CGCUGCGCAUGGGCGGAGCCUGACCCAGCCAUGCCGCGUGCAGGAUGAAGGCCUUCUGGGUUGUAAACUGCUUUUACCAGGGAAGAAAACACCCAUGCGUGGGGAACUGACGGUACCUGGGGAAUAAGCACCGGCUAACUCCGUGCCAGCAGCCGCGGUAAUACGGAGGGUGCAAGCGUUGUCCGGAUUUAUUGGGUUUAAAGGGUGCGUAGGCGGCCCCUUAAGUCAGCGGUGAAAGCCCGGGGCUCAACCCCGGAACUGCCGUUGAUACUGGGGGGCUUGAGUACAGACGAGGUAGGCGGAAUUGAGGAUGUAGCGGUGAAAUGCUUAGAUAUCCUCAAGAACACCGAUUGCGUAGGCAGCUUACUAGGCUGUAACUGACGCUGAGGCACGAAAGCGUGGGGAGCGAACAGGAUUAGAUACCCUGGUAGUCCACGCCGUAAACGAUGACUACUCGAUGUCGGCGACAAACUGUCGGCGUCUUAGCGAAAGCGUUAAGUAGUCCACCUGGGGAGUACGCCCGCAAGGGUGAAACUCAAAUGAAAUUGACGGA
This 553-nucleotide ribosomal RNA is filed under the name Rufibacter ruber. Its description in RNAcentral is "bacterial SSU rRNA". It matches the Rfam family "Bacterial small subunit ribosomal RNA", at positions 359 to 917 of the family's 1533-position model. The record is from RNAcentral. Lineage: Bacteria; Pseudomonadati; Bacteroidota; Cytophagia; Cytophagales; Hymenobacteraceae.